RNAcentral lists this ribosomal RNA (253 nucleotides) under uncultured bacterium. RNAcentral describes it as "partial 16S ribosomal RNA". It matches the Rfam family "Bacterial small subunit ribosomal RNA", at positions 524 to 776 of the family's 1533-position model. The record is from RNAcentral.
UACGGAGGGUGCAAGCGUUAUCCGGAAUCACUGGGUUUAAAGGGUGCGUAGGCGGCUUAGUAAGUCAGUGGUGAAAGCCUGUGGCUUAACCAUGGAAUGGCCAUUGAUACUGCUGAGCUUGAAUGAGGUUGAGGUUGGCGGAAUGUGACAUGUAGUGGUGAAAUGCUUAGAUAUGUCAUGGAACACCGAUUGCGAAGGCAGCUGACUGGACCUGUAUUGACGCUGAGGCACGAAAGCGUGGGUAGCGAACAGG